Molecule: ribosomal RNA, 1002 nt
Filed under: Penicillium cyclopium
Lineage: Eukaryota; Fungi; Ascomycota; Eurotiomycetes; Eurotiales; Aspergillaceae
Description: SSU rRNA
Rfam family: Eukaryotic small subunit ribosomal RNA
Source: RNAcentral
AAUGGCUCAUUAAAUCAGUUAUCGUUUAUUUGAUAGUACCUUACUACAUGGAUACCUGUGGUAAUUCUAGAGCUAAUACAUGCUAAAAACCCCGACUUCAGGAAGGGGUGUAUUUAUUAGAUAAAAAACCAACGCCCUUCGGGGCUCCUUGGUGAAUCAUAAUAACUUAACGAAUCGCAUGGCCUUGCGCCGGCGAUGGUUCAUUCAAAUUUCUGCCCUAUCAACUUUCGAUGGUAGGAUAGUGGCCUACCAUGGUGGCAACGGGUAACGGGGAAUUAGGGUUCGAUUCCGGAGAGGGAGCCUGAGAAACGGCUACCACAUCCAAGGAAGGCAGCAGGCGCGCAAAUUACCCAAUCCCGAUACGGGGAGGUAGUGACAAUAAAUACUGAUACGGGGCUCUUUUGGGUCUCGUAAUUGGAAUGAGAACAAUUUAAAUCCCUUAACGAGGAACAAUUGGAGGGCAAGUCUGGUGCCAGCAGCCGCGGUAAUUCCAGCUCCAAUAGCGUAUAUUAAAGUUGUUGCAGUUAAAAAGCUCGUAGUUGAACCUUGGGCCUGGCUGGCCGGUCCGCCUCACCGCGAGUACUGGUCCGGCUGGGCCUUUCCUUCUGGGGAACCUCAUGGCCUUCACUGGCUGUGGGGGGAACCAGGACUUUUACUGUGAAAAAAUUAGAGUGUUCAAAGCAGGCCUUUGCUCGAAUACAUUAGCAUGGAAUAAUAGAAUAGGACGUGUGGUUCUAUUUUGUUGGUUUCUAGGACCGCCGUAAUGAUUAAUAGGGAUAGUCGGGGGCGUCAGUAUUCAGCUGUCAGAGGUGAAAUUCUUGGAUUUGCUGAAGACUAACUACUGCGAAAGCAUUCGCCAAGGAUGUUUUCAUUAAUCAGGGAACGAAAGUUAGGGGAUCGAAGACGAUCAGAUACCGUCGUAGUCUUAACCAUAAACUAUGCCGACUAGGGAUCGGACGGGAUUCUAUAAUGACCCGUUCGGCACCUUACGAGAAAUCAAAG